RNAcentral lists this long non-coding RNA (296 nucleotides) under Pan troglodytes (chimpanzee). RNAcentral's name for it is "long non-coding RNA NONPTRT003632". Lineage: Eukaryota; Metazoa; Chordata; Mammalia; Primates; Hominidae. The record is from RNAcentral.
GGUGUACAUGCCCAUGUGAAGAAUGGCAUUUCUGCAAAGUUACUCAGGGCAUUGCUUUGAAUAACAAAAGAUUGGAAACUACAAAUGACUAUCAGUAGAGAAUUGCCUAAAUAAAUAUGGUUUAUUAUCCCAGCACUUUGGGAGGCUGAAGUGGGCUGAUCACUUGAGUCCGGGUGUUUGAGACCAGCCAUGGGCAAUAUGGUGCAACCCUGUCUCUACAACACAUACAAAAAAUUAGCUGAGCGUGGUAGGAUGCACCUACAGUCCCACUUACUCAGGAGCCUGAGGUGGGAGGA